RNAcentral lists this ribosomal RNA (457 nucleotides) under Pseudoeurycea robertsi. Its description in RNAcentral is "partial 12S ribosomal RNA". It matches the Rfam family "Bacterial small subunit ribosomal RNA", at positions 867 to 1522 of the family's 1533-position model. Lineage: Eukaryota; Metazoa; Chordata; Amphibia; Caudata; Plethodontidae. The record is from RNAcentral.
CCCCGCCAGAGCACUACGAGCCACAGCUUAAAACUCAAAGGACUUGGCGGUGCCCUACACCCACCUAGAGGAGCCUGUUCUAUAAUUGACAAUCCCCAAUAAACCUUGCCGCCCCUUGUAAACACAGCCUAUAUACCACCGUCACAAGCCCACCCCAUAAAGGACUUAUAGUAGGCUAAAUAAUUAAAAAUAAAAAUGUCAGGUCAAGGUGUAGCACAUGAGUCGGAAAGAAAUGGGCUACAUUUUCUUCAAAGAAAAAACGGAGUAUUUUAUGAAAUAAAAUAUGAAGGAGGAUUUAGCAGUAAAUAAAGAAUAGAGAGCUCUUUUAAAAUUGGCAAUAGGACGAGCACACACCGCCCGUCACCCUCUUUACACGCAUAUAAUAUAAAUAAAAAAAUAAAUAUUUCAGAAGAGGAAAGUCGUAACAUGGUAAGUCUACCGGAAGGUGGUCUUGGAA